RNAcentral lists this ribosomal RNA (465 nucleotides) under uncultured bacterium. RNAcentral's name for it is "partial 16S ribosomal RNA". It matches the Rfam family "Bacterial small subunit ribosomal RNA", at positions 28 to 507 of the family's 1533-position model. The record is from RNAcentral.
GAUGAACGCUGGCGGCGUGCUUAACACAUGCAAGUCGAACGGAAAGGCUCCUGCUUGCAGGGGUACUCGAGUGGCGAACGGGUGAGUAACACGUGGGUGAUCUGCCCUGCACUUCGGGAUAAGCCUGGGAAACUGGGUCUAAUACCGGAUAGGACGAUGGUUUGGAUGCCAUUGUGGAAAGUUUUUCGGUGUGGGAUGAGCUCGCGGCCUAUCAGCUUGUUGGUGGGGUAAUGGCCUACCAAGGCGUCGACGGGUAGCCGGCCUGAGAGGGUGUACGGCCACAUUGGGACUGAGAUACGGCCCAGACUCCUACGGGAGGCAGCAGUGGGGAAUAUUGCACAAUGGGCGCAAGCCUGAUGCAGCGACGCCGCGUGGGGGAUGACGGCCUUCGGGUUGUAAACUCCUUUCGCUAGGGACGAAGCGCAAGUGACGGUACCUGGAGAGGAGGCACCGGCUAACUACGUG